CUCAGAGUCCACCACAAACCCUUGAGCGACUUCUAAUGCCUUCUCAGAUUCAGCUACCUUAUCUCCGGCCGCCACCAAGAAGGCGUCAAACCGAUUCAUCAGUUCCGCCGGCAGAGCGCGUUUCACUUCGAUUAAAGAUUGCUGUUCACUCAUUUGGGCUCCUUAUCUUUAUGAAUUGGGCAAUAGUCCAAGUUUGGGCCGAUUCGCGUUCGACAUGAAAUACACAUGCGGGCAUCACAGGUUUUUCCCUCUCUGAGAGGGUAAUCACAUAGAGUAUUUCCCGGACUCUCACAGAAAGCGCAUGGCCCAUAUCCCGGUUCAUAUCUGACACAAACCAUCGCGUGCCCUGUCACGUUGCCCUUGUCAUCCCUGAUUUCUCGUAAUG
RNAcentral lists this unclassified non-coding RNA (385 nucleotides) under uncultured fungus. Its description in RNAcentral is "sequence contains ITS1". Lineage: Eukaryota; Fungi. The record is from RNAcentral.